Molecule: non-coding RNA, 100 nt
Organism: Ceratobasidium sp. 414
Lineage: Eukaryota; Fungi; Basidiomycota; Agaricomycetes; Cantharellales; Ceratobasidiaceae
Source: the annotation of a GenBank genome assembly
GGGCGCGUAGUGGAGUGGUUACCACGUUGGUCUUCGACGUUCAAUUCUCCGGAGUUGCUUACGUAACCAAAGGUCGCCGGUUCGACCCCGGUCGCGCUCA